Molecule: ribosomal RNA, 551 nt
Filed under: uncultured Acaulospora
Lineage: Eukaryota; Fungi; Glomeromycota; Glomeromycetes; Diversisporales; Acaulosporaceae
Description: SSU rRNA
Rfam family: Eukaryotic small subunit ribosomal RNA
Source: RNAcentral
UUGGAGGGCAAGUCUGGUGCCAGCAGCCGCGGUAAUUCCAGCUCCAAUAGCGUAUAUUAAAGUUGUUGCAGUUAAAAAGCUCGUAGUUGAAUUUCGGGAUUUAUCCGUCGGUCGGGCUUUUGGGUCUGUACUGGCGUGAUGGAUUCCUACCUUCUGAAUAACCGGCAUGUCAUUAAUUUGGUGCGCCGGGGAAGCAGGACUGUUACCUUGAAAAAAUUAGAGUGCUUAAAGCAGGCUUAUGCCUGAAUACAUUAGCAUGGAAUAAUGAAAUAGGACGGCAUGGUUCUAUUUUGUUGGUUUCUAGGAUCACCGUAAUGAUUAAUAGGGAUAGUUGGGGGCAUUAGUAUUCAAUUGUCAGAGGUGAAAUUCUUGGAUUUAUUGAAGACUAACUACUGCGAAAGCAUUUGCCAAGGAUGUUUUCAUUAAUCAAGAACGAAAGUUAGGGGAUCGAAGACGAUCAGAUACCGUCGUAGUCUUAACCAUAAACUAUGCCGACUAGGGAUCGGACGAUGUUAAUUUUUUAAUGACUCGUUCGGCGCCUUACGGGAAAC